Dromaius novaehollandiae (emu) is the source of this 4605-nucleotide long non-coding RNA. RefSeq lists it as uncharacterized. The record is from RefSeq and is a predicted model, not a curated record. The transcript has 5 exons. Lineage: Eukaryota; Metazoa; Chordata; Aves; Casuariiformes; Dromaiidae.
CUGAGUGUAUCUCAAGGGAACAAAGGACCCAAACAUUUUUUCUUUCCUAAAUUGUGUGUUUUCAAUUACCAUUCUAUCUUGCUAAUGCAUAUUUAUUUAGUUAGAUCAACAGUUUCCAAUGUUUAAAUGCCUGCUCUAAAGACAGAAUUUUGAGUCUAAAAGAGCCUUCAACUUACAGCUUUCCUUCUGGAAGAAAAAAAGACUGGAGUAAUCCAAAAGGCAUAAAGGUUUCUACUUGAACUCCUGGGCUGAAUUAAACAGUCCUGGAAGAAGCUUCUGAUGUCUCUGACCUCCCAGUUUUAAAACAAGCAGAUGAAGGUUGAUGCUGCGCCGUUAAUCUGUCUGUGUAAUCUAGACCAUGUGCCACCUCUGAGGGGAACAGUGGUGACUCCCUUGAGCUGCCUGACUUCUCUUUGCAACAGUACCCGGUUUUCUGGAGGGAGGUGCUCUUCCCCUGUAGUACAUGCAGGCUAGUCAGUACAUAAAAAGGAGUGAGAGCUGCAAGAUGUCAUCGCACCCAGAUGAGGAAUAAAUAGCCAUUGUUGACAGUCAAGAACCCGUUGUAGUGAUCUCACCCCAGGGAUGAGAAGACCCAACAUCCUAUGUGUAGCCCAGUCCCUUCUGCAAAUGCUUUUGUUUCAUGUAAGAAAAAUCAGACCUGAAAAGGGGAGCAACGUAAUUGCUAGGGAAGAUCCCCACUCUUCCUGUGACAAGUGACAUUCCCCGCAGCCAGCCAUCGUGGUAUUUCCCAAAGACACGGACCCCUUCUCCUUUCUGCAGCUCCAGUUCAUCGGGUCCGUGAGCCAUGUAGGAAUGGAGGGCCACGCACCUGGAGAGGAGAGAGAGGGAGAUGAAGGGAAGGGAACACGGGCUGUAGAGAAGUAACUGCCUUAAUGCAAAAUGGUUGAAACAUAUCCUGAAGUUCCUGGUUUUAAUUGUGCUGAAGAACUGAUGCUGCUGGCUUUGGGUGAGUGGCAGCUGUUUGCCUGAAGCCUCUUCAACCACUGCUUGCAUCAAAUAUUUGGGCGCUGCUGUUAUGGUGGAGAGAACUUGCGGGGAAGACACUGUCUAUAACUUGAGGCCAAAGGGAAUAUGAAUAAAAGAAAAGCCAACAGAAAUGAAGAACAAAGCAGAUCUUGUCAAUGGUUUCUGUCCCAGAAGUGUCAGCCAAGAGCGACAAGCAAGGAUUAGGGAGGAGAGAGUUGUUCUUGACUUUACAUAGUGAGUACUGAUUAAGGACUAACGUCCUAAGGCAAAGCAGCAUAAAAGAGUGCAGUUAAGAUGAUCUGUCUGAGUGAUAGUAUCAAGAAUACAUUCUGCCUUUGAAGUACGUGGUGAGCAGGAGGCCUUGCGUCUGCUUGGCUGGAGAAUCAUCUGGAGGUGUUGAGAGGUGCGGGGAGGAGUAUUCCUCAUGCAGCAGCACAAAGCAUCUCUGAAGAAGCACUAGUGUAUUAACCCUGUCUUCCCUGCCUUCCUUGUUCCAUGCCCACACACGGGCAGGCAUCCAUAGCAGUCUAAAAGAACAUCCAGACUUUAGCCACUAUCACUGGAGAUCUUUAAGAAUAAAGUAGAUAAAUAAGGAAUGACUGAGAUCUAGAUGGUUCUGCUUUGGAUUAGUGAGGAAAUUGGACUAGAAAGAUCACUUGAAAUUCUGUCUAGACAUCUCUGUCACUAUUCUGAGAUUUUGUCUAGGCAAUGAGAUUAUUUGUUCUCCACAGUGAACCAUACAUGAGCAUACAGCAAAACAAAAGGCAUAUUUCUCAAAUUCUCCUGUUUGUUUUUGGAUUUUAUUACUACCUAGGGUCCUGGUGGCUUUAAAAAAUUUUCAUUUUUCUCCAGCGGAACACCUUUAAUAAAAUUGCAUUGUUAUUUUCCUUGGGGGAUAUGAUCUGUUCCUAAAUAGUAAUGAGUUACAGAUCCUACAGCAAUUAUCAUUUCCUCUAAACCAGGUGGUAUUAAAGAAGAGAACAAAAAAACAGACUCACAAGGACUAUCCCAUAAGUUUAAAAAAGGUUUUUUCUCACUGUCUAUUGUUCAUAACAAUCACUUGAAAGUUUGACUUGAAAAGUCUUUCUUUAUAGAAAUGAUUUUUCCUUUUAUUUCUUGCAGAGACCAGGAAAGCUUCACUAGUUCAUCUUUUCACACAGGAUUCAUCUUCAAGGAGAGCACAUGCACAUAUUGGUUUGAUAUUGUAGGGCUGAAAAAGGAGCUGUACAACACAAGAAGCUGAUUCUGUAAACACUGAAAUACAGUCCUUAUUCUGUCUCAUUAUUUCACUGUUUUAAGGUUUUAAGAGUUUUCUUGUCUUUUAGAUUAGGUAUGUGUGAGAGUCUUGGAUAACCUAUGCUUAUGCAUGAAUAUAGCAAAUAUUGUCGGGGCAAUAUAGACUUAUAGAUAUUGCUCAUGUAUACUAAUGUUUCCAAAGGGCUGGCUUGCUACUAUGGAGGUGCUAAUUACCAUAUAGGCAGCUUGUUGCUAUUUUGUUAUUACUGGGUAGCUUACUAUAGUGCCAGGCUGGUGAGUUUUAUCUAGAGGAAAAGAAAUCACCAAGUAUAUUUGCAAAUUUUAAGUCUACUUAUUUGGGAAAGUUUUAUCAGAUUGGAUCAUACAAAACAUUAGUGAGCUUUACUGUCUUAAAGUAAGUAGCUAGAGAUAUUUAAGGAGUAAUUUUCUUCUUUAUAUUUAAAAAAUUAAAAUAUGCUGCUGAUGAAUGGGCAGAACUAGAUAUCUAGAAAUAAGUAAGUGAGGUAAUAAGGUGCCAAGAUGGUUCACGUGCUGAGAAUAUAAUAAUUGAAAUAGAUGAGCAUAAUAAUUAGGGAAUGGUCAGAAUCUAUCUUGAAUGUUUCCAGUAGGGUACCUAAAUUCCUCUAUAGCCCUUGAUUUCCCUAAAAUUGAUCUUUGAGUCAUAUUAAGUCUCUGUGAUCUCUUGGUUAGAACAGCAAAGUAUGAAUGAACAUAAGGAAUCCUGCAUUCUAAUCUGGUUUUAUCUUCUGACUCUGAAAACUCAGGCAGGUGUUCUGCCAUGGUUAGAUAAACCUCAGGAGAAGGUACUGAGAACUGCAUGCCACCACCACCAAGUUUCAGUUUCCUUACGUACAUAUUAGCUGAUAUGUGAUGCUGCAGAUGGGGAAGAGUGACAAUAGCUGCUGAAUGCCCCAAAGAUCCUGGUGCAGGAUAGUAAGACGCACUGACCUACAGAAAAAAAAAAAAAAAGAAACAAAGAAAACAAAAUAUUAAUUUGAAUAUAGACUUAUUUUAGCCAUUGGAACAGCAGCUAACUGUUUGACAGGCCUCACUAACACUUCAAAAAAGAGAGAUCAGGCUUCUUAACAAGAGGAUUUCUGUUGCUCUGUAGCUCUGAUAAAUACCAAGUAAUGACAGAUCUAGAGAGGACAACUGAUUCAAAUGUAACCCUGUUCAGUGGCAAUUACUGGCUUCCCUUGACAUCUUUCCAGUAGAUUGCGUGGAAUGAGUCAGGUGCAGUUGCAGCAGUGAAGCUGCAGGCAUAAAACAAAUGAAAACUUAAGAUACACCAUCUCUGAGUCACAGAAAUGCUGGUGGAAGGGAUUUUUGCGGGUCAUCUGGUUCAAUCCCAUGCUUGAAGCAGGACUAUCAUCGACACAAGGAGUCUUUCAUGUUUAAAGGAGGAACGAACCUCAGCAUCGUUUCUGCUGUCGAAGUAAUUUCUGGCAGCUGUGUAUCGAACAAGGCCUCGCCACAGCUGCUGCUGAGGUGCAAGCCUGGCUGAAUCAGGACCAUGGACAUGAAUCUGAUGCAAAAUGCAUGAAAAGCACAUGAGCUUUUAACUUGUUUGAAGGCUUUCAUCAUGUGGAGAUUCUUCUACACUCACCAUGCACAGAACUAAUAAUGAAAAUGGCAUUUUUCCUGUGUACCAAGGAGAAAAACUAUGCAAGUGUCUAGGUGAGUGGUGUCAUGCUGCCAGGAAACUCGGAUCACUUUUAGGAGUUGAAAAAUCCUGAUAUUAUUGAAGUGGAAAUAGUUGAAAUGCUCCACAGGAAAAAAAGCUAGUUUGUACUGACAGAUAGCUAAAUCUCUUUGGAAAGACCUACACCCUGAGCAACCCAGCAAAAAUUAAAUCCUGAUAAUUUUUAAUAUAUUUUAAUUUCAUCUUUUUAAGGAUAUCUGCCAGGGUGUGUGUAUUGGAGGGAGUAAAGAAUUUUACAGGAACAAAUUUAUGUUUUUCUCUCCUUUGAACUAAUACACAAAGUUCGGGGCUAAUAUUUUAUUGACUCCAAGGUUCCAGGUGGCACAGGAGGCUGGCUUCUGCUGGCCAAAAUGUUUGCUUUUGCACAGAAUACGUGCACAAAACUUCCGUUUGGAUUGGUGGGAGUUUGUAUUCAUCUUGCAGUGAGGUAAAUGGCUCUUGAUGUUCAGAGAGGCAAAUCAAGGCUAUCUGCUGGCUACUUCCUUGAAUAAUAAGAGAUCGCUACUUGAUAGUGUGCUAGAAUCACUGCAUAAAUUUCCAGGCAGGUUUGUUGCCAAAUGACUGUCAGAUUACCCCAGAGGUAGGGCAAGGGUAUGUGAAGAUGGGGCAAACAGCAGGAUGUUAAACAGAAAGAUAGAGGUAUCUUGUCCAGAAGCUUU